Long non-coding RNA from Erigeron canadensis, 700 nucleotides. RefSeq lists it as uncharacterized. Lineage: Eukaryota; Viridiplantae; Streptophyta; Magnoliopsida; Asterales; Asteraceae. The transcript is spliced from 3 exons. The record is from RefSeq and is a predicted model, not a curated record.
UAGAAAUUAAAAUAGUAAAAUUAAACACAAAGAGAUAUGCGAAAUAAAAUGCCAGAAAAUAAAAAGAGAAAAACUAUGAUCGGGCAAGCAUUCCGGAUUUUUGCCACUCCCGGCGAUGUUGGUGGCAGCGACGUAUGUUGAUGGCGAUGGAGCUGCAAAGGUAGAGAAGUCCCCGAGCAAUUCCUUUGAUAACGUUGAAGCGCUUUGUCCAAUCAAGGAGCAUGUGUUUUAGGUUUUGAAAUGCAAAUGACUUCAUUUUUAUGCAACAGAGGAGUUUCACAAGAUUCCGGUGAUGAGGUCUUGAAUUGCAAAUGACUUCAUUUUUAAACUCAUCAACUCCUUGGUCAGAUGUCUUGGAGAGACGUUUAACUGCAAUGUGCAGGCCUUCUAACACACCCUGAAGAUUACCAUUUUCACUCCUAAGAGCUUCACAAGAUUUCGGUGCUGUAGUCUUGAAAUGCAAAUGACUUUAUUCUUGAACUCAUCAACUCCUUGGUUAGAAGUCUCGGAGAGACGCUUAACUGCAAUCUCUAUCCCUUCUAGCACACCCUGAAGAUUACCAUUUUCAGUGUGAGUAACAUCACAAACUUUAAAUACAAUGUAUGUUGUGUAGAGUAGUUCUAUUUUUUUUAUAAAUAUUAUGAAGUACCUUAUAAACUGGCCCAAAUCCACCUUCUCCAAGUAUAUUGUCAGUUGAAAA